UAAAGUAAAGAAUGAUAAAGUAAAGAAAAGAAUGUAAAGUAGCUGAUUCCAUAAUAUGAGAAAAGGUGGUCUUGUAUUCUUACAUUGGUAUAUGAUUUCAUUUGAGUUCUUAUUUCACAUACAGUACUUUAUGCCUUACAUACUUAGUACAUUCUCCCGUACUGAUGUCUCUCUUGGGGAACCUGCAAUUCAUGCUGCAGGUACAGGAG
RNAcentral lists this long non-coding RNA (209 nucleotides) under Solanum tuberosum (potato). RNAcentral's name for it is "long non-coding RNA (STUB_LNC009519)". The record is from RNAcentral. Lineage: Eukaryota; Viridiplantae; Streptophyta; Magnoliopsida; Solanales; Solanaceae.